Molecule: ribosomal RNA, 465 nt
Filed under: uncultured eukaryote
Lineage: Eukaryota
Description: SSU rRNA
Rfam family: Eukaryotic small subunit ribosomal RNA
Source: RNAcentral
GGCGGGGACCCAAGUACCCCUGGUGGGUGUGCUCGGGCCCGGCCAUCCUUCUGUAAACUUUCGCGCGUCCUUCACCGGUCGGCAAAGGGAUCAGAUAAUUUACCUUGAGAAAAUUAGAGUGUUUCAGGCAGGCUUAGCCGGAAUACAUUAGCAUGGAAUAAUGGAAUAGGACUGAGGUCUCGUUGUUGGUUACGCGGACUACAGUAAUGAUUAAUAGGGACAGUUGGGGGCAUUAGUAUUUAAUAGCUAGAGGUGGAAUUCUCUAAUUUGUUAAAGACUAACUUAUGCGAAAGCAUUUGCCAAGGAUGUUUUCAUUAAUCAAGAACGAAAGUUAGGGGAUCAAAGACGAUCAGAUACCGUCCUAGUCUUAACCAUAAACUAUGCCGACUCGGGAUCGGGAGCGUGUGUUAUCCGCUUUCGGCACCGUAUGAGAAAUCAAAGUCUUUGGGUUCUGGGGGGAGUAUG